Long non-coding RNA from Lolium rigidum, 1053 nucleotides. RefSeq lists it as uncharacterized. The transcript has 7 exons. NCBI's taxonomy places the organism in Eukaryota, Viridiplantae, Streptophyta, Magnoliopsida, Poales, Poaceae. The record is from RefSeq and is a predicted model, not a curated record.
GCUAGUAAACAAGGAUAUCUAGAUAUUGAUUCUGGACUAGUAAUGUUUCACAUGAUAAUCUUUGAUUGCUCCGUGUGAAUAAAUCUACACCUGCAUGUUUUUUUACAAAUGCAGUACCACUAGUAUUUCUGAAUAAAUGAACACUUUGAGUAUUGUGUUCUAAUUAUUCUCUUCAUUUCUGAUUGUUGAAUUUCUAGCUUGCACAUAUCCUAAACUUGUAAGGUGCCCUAGAGAUGAUAGAGGAAAGGGUGGCGGGUUCAGCUUGACUUCCUCCACUUGGACGUCGGGGACAAGAACGACUAUGAGAAUGUCCUCAAGGAGGUGACAGCGGUGAUGGCGCCUCGGUUAGAUGAAGGAAUGUCAGGGCGCCCAGGUAGAGGACGGUGACUUCCUCCUCCUCCACUUGGAUGAUGCCGCCGCCGGGGACAAGAACAAACGACUAGAUUUUCUUGCUGCCACUUGUCCUGAAUAUGGACGGUGCCUUCGAUCUGAAAAAUGGGUGGCCGAGCUGCUGCUGCUACUUAGGCUUUGAUACGAUGGGCUGCUGUUGUUGACCACUUCAACACACCGGUUCAGGGUUGGGUGCAGUGGUGCUUGUAGAGCCCACUGCCGGUGGUGGCGGUGAUGGCUUCGUGCAUGAAGGUCUAGGAGGGUGCCUAGGUACAUAACGACGACUUCCUCCUCCACUGGGGCGCACGCUGCCUCCUGGGACAAAAACAAACCACUAGGGUGUCUUAGAGCUAAAAAAAUGGGUGGCGGUCGGUUGAGGACGAAUUCAUCCACUUGGACAUUGUCGCGAACAAAAAUGACUGUGAGUUCAUAUGCAGAAGGCUGUUGCAGUUUUAUGGUGCUGGAGGUUAGCGGUGAAGAACAAGGACGCACUAGGAGGAGGGAGGCUGCAGGAAUGGCGGUGGGGAGGCAAUCUUCUGCCCGAGCUGCAGCUGCUGCUGGCAUCUACGUCCCUGAGUUGUUGCCACCCUGACCUGCGAGCAUCUGUGUUGAUUAAGUGAAGAAACCGGUUGCUUCCCAUCCCUGAUCCAAUUGUUGAUCCAU